UUGCGCGAAUACAUUGACUUCUGGCACAGAUCCAGUGUGGUCACUUCCACCAACCUGGAGGAUAAGUUCAUUUGGAAAUGGUCAGCGGAUGGAAGAUAUAAUGCUAAGUCAGCUUACCUAUGUCAAUUCUGGGGCAAGAUUGAUUCUCCUCUUCCUGAGAUCAUUUGGCAUAUCAAAAUUCCACCAAGAAUAAGAUUCUUCAGUUGGCUCUUUGUACAGGGCAAAUGUUUGACUGCGGACAACCUUGCGAAACGAGGUUGGCCUCACAACCCGAUCUGUCAAUUAUGCCACUUAGGGUGGGAGGAUGGUCUGCACCUUGUAUCUAGCUGCCCCUUCACGGCUGGAAUCUGGGGCUAUUGCCUGGCGAUAUAUAAUUUUCCAUUCAACCUCUUAUCUAUUGCUCAUACUGGCUCUAUAUUGGACUGGUGGUUAAAGGCUCUGGAUCGUACAGGCAGGAAAAAUGACCUAUCAUCACUUAUAAUGACGGUGUCCUGGCAGGUUUGGAAAGAAAGAAACAGCCGCAUAUUCAACAACAAGGCAAACCACUUCCUGAAGGUCGCUGAGAACAUUAUCAAUGAGCUGAAUUCUUGGAGAAUCGCUGGAUUCAAAGGAGCACAAUGGACAGGCGCAAGAUAA
This 636-nucleotide ribosomal RNA is filed under the name Triticum aestivum (bread wheat). RNAcentral's name for it is "partial small subunit ribosomal RNA". The record is from RNAcentral. Lineage: Eukaryota; Viridiplantae; Streptophyta; Magnoliopsida; Poales; Poaceae.